GACGAACGCUGGCGGCGUGCUUAACACAUGCAAGUCGAACGGAAAGGCCCUGCUUUUGUGGGGUGCUCGAGUGGCGAACGGGUGAGUACCACGUGAGUAACCUGCCCUUGCCUUUGGGAUAACUUCAGGAACCUGGGGCUAAUCCCGGAUAGGAGCUCCUGCUGCAUGGUGGGGUUUGGAAAGUUUCGGCGGUUGGGGAUGGACUCGCGGCUUAUCAGCUUGUUGGUGGGGUAGUGGCUUACCAAGGCUUUGACGGGUAGCCGGCCUGAGAGGGUGACCGGCCACAUUGGGACUGAGAUACGGCCCAGACUCCUACGGGAGGCAGCAGUGGGGAAUAUUGCACAAUGGGCGGAAGCCUGAUGCAGCAACGCCGCGUGCGGGAUGACGGCCUUCGGGUUGUAAACCGCUUUCGCCUGUGACGAAGCGUGAGUGACGGUAAUGGGUAAAGAAGCACCGGCUAACUACGUG
RNAcentral lists this ribosomal RNA (468 nucleotides) under uncultured bacterium. RNAcentral describes it as "partial 16S ribosomal RNA". It matches the Rfam family "Bacterial small subunit ribosomal RNA", at positions 28 to 507 of the family's 1533-position model. The record is from RNAcentral.